CCAAAACCCUUUGUGUUUCUCUCGGAGAAUUACAACGUCAAAAGCACUAACCCUAAUUCUCGGAAACCCCAAGAUAUAUAUUAAAUAAUAUUUUUCUAUCAUCUAAUAUAUUAUUUCCUAUAUUUUAGCAUCACAAAAUCUUCUAAUUUGUGAUCUACUAACCAUUCUCUGUGUGUAACACAAGUACACGAACCAAAGCUCCACCACUGCAUCAACCUAUCAAGCUCCAAGUUCUUGAGCUUCUUGAGCUUACAUUCUCCUCCUUUUUCACUGAGUUUUACAACUCAAACUCACUAACCUUUAAGCAUAAUAUGCAUCAUACAUCCCAUCAA
RNAcentral lists this long non-coding RNA (332 nucleotides) under Brassica napus (rape). RNAcentral describes it as "long non-coding RNA (BNAP_LNC008003)". The record is from RNAcentral. Lineage: Eukaryota; Viridiplantae; Streptophyta; Magnoliopsida; Brassicales; Brassicaceae.